This 625-nucleotide ribosomal RNA is filed under the name Anischia sp. UPOL RK0119. RNAcentral describes it as "eukaryotic LSU rRNA". It matches the Rfam family "Eukaryotic large subunit ribosomal RNA", at positions 670 to 1259 of the family's 3401-position model. Lineage: Eukaryota; Metazoa; Arthropoda; Insecta; Coleoptera; Anischiidae. The record is from RNAcentral.
GGAGUCUAGCAUGUGCGCGAGUCAUUGGGAUCAGCGAAACCUAAAGGCGAAAUGAAAGUGAAGGAACGCUUGCGCGUUUCGAGGGAGGAUGGGUCGCGCCAAGACGCGGCCCCGCACUCCCGGGGCGUCUCGUUCUCCUUCGGAGAUGAGGCGCACCCAGAGCGUACACGCUGGGACCCGAAAGAUGGUGAACUAUGCCUGGUCAGGACGAAGUCAGGGGAAACCCUGGUGGAGGUCCGUAGCGAUUCUGACGUGCAAAUCGAUCGUAGGAACUGGGUAUAGGGGCGAAAGACUAAUCGAACCAUCUAGUAGCUGGUUCCCUCCGAAGUUUCCCUCAGGAUAGCUGGCGCUCGCUUUGCGAGUCUCAUCCGGUAAAGCGAAUGAUUAGAGGCAUUGGGGUCGAAACGGCCUCAACCUAUUCUCAAACUUUAAAUGGGUGAGAUCUCCGGCUUGCUUGAACAGUGAAGCCGCGAGAUCGGAUCAGAGUGCCAAGUGGGCCAUUUUUGGUAAGCAGAACUGGCGCUGUGGGAUGAACCAAACGCCGAGUUAAAGCGCCUAAAUCGACGCUUAUGGGAUACCAUGAAAGGCGUUGGUAACUUAAGACAGCAGGACGGUGGCCAUGGAA